Molecule: non-coding RNA, 21 nt
Filed under: Caenorhabditis elegans
Lineage: Eukaryota; Metazoa; Nematoda; Chromadorea; Rhabditida; Rhabditidae
Source: RNAcentral
UGGUAAGAAAGGCGUAACUCC